CGGACGGGUGAGUAAUGUCUGGGAAACUGCCCGAUGGAGGGGGAUAACUACUGGAAACGGUAGCUAAUACCGCAUAAUGUCUGCGGACCAAAGCGGGGGACCUCCGGGCCUCGCGCCAUCAGAUGAACCCAUAUGGGAUUAGCUAGUAGGUGAGGUAACGGCUUACCUAGGCGACGAUCCCUAGCUGGUCUGAGAGGAUGACCAGCCACACUGGAACUGAGACACGGUCCAG
RNAcentral lists this ribosomal RNA (232 nucleotides) under uncultured bacterium. Its description in RNAcentral is "partial 16S ribosomal RNA". It matches the Rfam family "Bacterial small subunit ribosomal RNA", at positions 99 to 334 of the family's 1533-position model. The record is from RNAcentral.